GUACUUGAAAUAUUGACUGAAAACCACAUAAAAAAAUUAUUUAAAAAUUUCACUGUUGGUGAGCAAGCUAUUUUUGAAAAUAAUCUUAAAAGAUGGAAAAAUGCAGAGAAACCUAUAGCAGAUACCAGCUUUAACUCAUUGCGCUCGAUAGAAGACUUGCCUAUUAACACCAAAAUUCCAUCCCUUAUAUCGAUUUUAAAAGACACUGAGACUGGUAAGCAAAUUCAAAAAAAACACAUUGGCAAAGUAUUUAGAUUUGAAAGGAUUCAACUGUACAAUUUCUGAUUGCUCAAAUAUAGAAUUUCAAAUUUGUUCAAUAUUUCCAACGGAAUAAUUGCAAGCGGGGAAAGCUGUACAAUAAAAUACACAACAUUAAACGAUAUAACAAAAUAUUGAAAGACGUUGAAAAAUAAAAUUCAAUAGAUGAAAGUAAAGAACACGAUCCGGAAUCUGAUUGGAAACAGUGUUUAAACCUUUUAAAAAGUGGAUACUUAUCUCCGAAAGAAUUUGACCUAUACUGAAGAAAAUGUGCUUACUACAGAUUUUAACAAAUGAAAGAGAAGAAAAGUACAUUGGAAAUAUUGAAGAAGUGACCGGAAUAUAAAAAAACUUCAGGAUAUAAAUUAAUAUCAAUAGUCUUUCAACUAAAGUUUCCAAAGGCUAAAGAAUUAAAAACUAAAUGGGCAGAUUACGAGGGAAAGUUGUUUAGUUUGUUGCGGAAUAAAGUCGUUUUUAUUCAGUUUCCUUUUAAUUUUAGACACAAAAAUAUUUUGAACGUUUUGGUUUCUUCAUCAUAUAUUUUCACCGCCAUUAAGUGUAACAAUGGAGCCAAACAACGAAAAAAAUUCUCGAUUAUAGAUUCUCAAGAAUCAUUUGCUAUAAUUGGCAAAAGUUUCAAAGAGCCGGAAACAAAAUUGAAUUUGCUGAAGCUCCUGUCAAUAAGUAUACAGCCAUUACUUUUAGUGUUAGGUGAUUAAGAAGAUAUCAAAAAUAUUUCGAUAUAUUUUGAUGGAAUAAGGUAUCCCAUGAUGACUACCUUAACUACUGUAGAUAUUUUAUUCAAAAUAAUGUUUGUUUUUAAUCUACAGUUUCCAAAACAAUCACAAAUAUUUUAUACAUUUAUUCAAAUAUUCUUUUUUGAAAUGCCCACGGACAAAAAAAAAAAAUAAAACUUGCUAGUUUUAUAAGUCAAUUACUUAACUAUUUUUAUACCCUUCACUUUCGUGAGAAGGGUAUAUAUAAGUUUGUCAUUCCGUUUGUAAUUUCUAUAAUAUAAU
Molecule: long non-coding RNA, 1277 nt
Organism: Lucilia cuprina (Australian sheep blowfly)
Lineage: Eukaryota; Metazoa; Arthropoda; Insecta; Diptera; Calliphoridae
Exons: 4
Source: RefSeq, a predicted model, not a curated record